AGUGAACGCUGGCGGUAGGCCUAACACAUGCAAGUCGAACGGCAGCACAGUAAGAGCUUGCUCUUACGGGUGGCGAGUGGCGGACGGGUGAGGAAUACAUCGGAAUCUACUUUUUCGUGGGGGAUAACGUAGGGAAACUUACGCUAAUACCGCAUACGACCUACGGGUGAAAGCAGGGGAUCUUCGGACCUUGCGCGAUUGAAUGAGCCGAUGUCGGAUUAGCUAGUUGGCGGGGUAAAGGCCCACCAAGGCGACGAUCCGUAGCUGGUCUGAGAGGAUGGUCAGCCACAUUGGAACUGAGACACGGUCCAGACUCCUAAGGGAGGCAGCAGUGGGGAAUAUUGGACAAUGGGCGCAAGCCUGAUCCAGCCAGACCGAGUGGGUGAAGAAGGCCUUCGGGUUGUAAAGCCCUUUUGUUGGGAAAGAAAAGCAGCAGGUUAAUACCCCGCUGUUCUGACGGUACCCAAAGAAUAAGCACCGGCUAACUUCGUG
Molecule: ribosomal RNA, 492 nt
Filed under: uncultured bacterium
Lineage: Bacteria
Description: partial 16S ribosomal RNA
Rfam family: Bacterial small subunit ribosomal RNA
Source: RNAcentral